RNAcentral lists this ribosomal RNA (370 nucleotides) under uncultured eukaryote. RNAcentral's name for it is "partial 18S ribosomal RNA". It matches the Rfam family "Eukaryotic small subunit ribosomal RNA", at positions 592 to 976 of the family's 1831-position model. The record is from RNAcentral.
CAAUAGCGUAUAUUAAAGUUGUUGCAGUUAAAAAGCUCGUAGUUGGAUUUCUGGUCGGAAGCUCCUGUCCUCUGAUGAGCGUACAAGUGCGUCCUACCAUCCUUCUGUUAACCUUUAAGGCUUUCGCGGCUUUCUAGGGGCUCAGAUAUUUUACCUUGAGAAAAUUAGAGUGUUUCAGGCAGGCUAGCGCCGGAAUACAUUAGCAUGGAAUAAUGGAAUAGGACUUUUGCCUCUUCUGUUGGUCAUGAGGCUCGAGUAAUGAUUAAUAGGGAUAGUUGGGGGCAUUAGUAUUUAAUUGUCAGAGGUGGAAUUCUCAGAUUUGUUAAAGACUAACUUAUGCGAAAGCAUUUGCCAAGGAUGUUUUCAUUAA